GAUAAACGCUGGCGGCGUGCCUAAAACAUGCAAGUCGAACGGCUCCGGGUCUUCGGACCUGGGGUAGUGGCGGACGGCUGAGUAACACGUGGGUGACCUGCCCUCGAGCGGGGGAUAACUGCCCGAAAGGGUGGCUAAUACCGCAGACGUCGAUCAUUCGGUUGGUCGACUGAACCUCCGGGGUUCGGGGAGGGGCCCGCGGUCGAUUAGCUGGCUGGUGGGGUAACGGCCUACCAGGGCUGCGAUCGAUAGCUGGUCUGAGAGGAUAAUCAGCCAGACUGGGACUGCGAACGGCCCAGACUCCUACGGGAGGCAGCAGUUAGGAAUUUUGGGCAAUGGGCGGAAGCCUGACCCAGCAACGCCGCGUGGGUGAUGAAGGCCCUCGGGUCGUAAAGCCCUUUUCCCAGGGACGAUGGUGACGGUACCUGGGGAAUCAGCCCCGGCUAACUACGUGCCAGCAGCCGCGGUAAUACGUAGGGGGCAAGCGUUGUCCGGAUUUAUUGGGCGUAAAGCGCUCGC
RNAcentral lists this ribosomal RNA (519 nucleotides) under uncultured bacterium. RNAcentral describes it as "bacterial SSU rRNA". It matches the Rfam family "Bacterial small subunit ribosomal RNA", at positions 28 to 572 of the family's 1533-position model. The record is from RNAcentral.